UACAGAGGGUGCAAGCGUUAAUCGGAAUUACUGGGCGUAAAGCGCACGUAGGCGGUUUUUUAAGUCAGAUGUGAAAGCCCCGGGCUCAACCUGGGAAUUGCAUUUGAAACUGGAAAACUAGAGUGUGUGAGAGGGGGGUAGAAUUCCAAGUGUAGCGGUGAAAUGCGUAGAGAUUUGGAGGAAUACCAGUGGCGAAGGCGGCCCCCUGGCACAACACUGACGCUCAGGUGCGAAAGCGUGGGGAGCAAACAGGAUUAGAUACCCUGGUAGUCCACGCCGUAAACGAUGUCUACUAGCUGUUCGUGACCUUGUGUCGUGAGUAGCGCAGCUAACGCACUAAGUAGACCGCCUGGGGAGUACGGUCGCAAGAUUAAA
Molecule: ribosomal RNA, 375 nt
Filed under: uncultured bacterium
Lineage: Bacteria
Description: bacterial SSU rRNA
Rfam family: Bacterial small subunit ribosomal RNA
Source: RNAcentral